GAAUUGCAGCAGACUCAUUGGGCUACAUUUAGUAUAAGAAUCACAUAUUGAUGUUAAAGGACACAGUCUAGUGAUGCCACCAUCCUUGAGUAAGAACUACCUCUAGAUUGUGGUAAGCGUUUACUGUCCCUUAAACAGCGGCCACUAGUACCUUACGAACGCAGACUAACUUCUAAUGGCGGUUUGUCUUUCUGGCUCUCUGGGCGUCUGAAAGUUUUCACGUAGACCUUUAGCCUCCCGUCAGGACCAUUGCUUUCCAGCUUUGCUGCCUUUCUCUUUCUGUGUCAUAGACUGUGCCACUGUAAAUGCCACUCCGAACACCUUUAAACUGCCUCCUCCUUGUUUGUCAAGGGGAAGGCCACCUGUAAAAUGUGGUGGUGACAGCUUUCUUACUCACCCCAAGCUGGGGCCCCGCUGGAGAUCAGCUGCAGCCCACCGCCUCCCCACCUCACACCUCCAGGCUGUGUCAGUGGUGCAGGGCGGAGCUCACUGUGGCCUUACCUAUCUGUGCAGUAACUGUUCUUGGUUCCCUUCAGCCCUGCUCCUUUCCAAGCACCUCUCCUCAGCUGCCAUGGAAGCAGGGCACUGUGGUGUCAGACCGGAGCAGUUUGCAGUGCCGCUGUGCUUUCUGAGGGCCUAGAUUUAGGGUUUAGUGAAGUCGUUAACUGAGAACAGAUGAGAUGCUUUUGAAGAACAAACUAUUCCUUACCCAGCUUUGUAGCUUAAAGUAAGUUUUCAAGUUCAUGGCUUUAUUAAAAUGAACUUUGACUUUUUAAAAUGCUUAUAUCUCAUUUCGGUUCUUUUAUUUAUUUUAGUAAGAAUUGAAACAAUUAGACUAUAAGUCGUUUUCCUGUUUGUUUGUUUUUCUACAAAGUUCAAGAAUGUAACAAUAAAGGCAUUUUCCUAUGGUUCUAUGUCAGACUCCUACCGCAGAAUAGCCUGAACAGAUAUGUCUGUUUUACCAUGUUAUUGAUAGUUCUUUUGUCAGCUGCUUUUAUUAAAAGUCCUUUUUGUGGAUUUGUUAAAAAAAAUGAA
This 1035-nucleotide long non-coding RNA is filed under the name Rattus norvegicus (Norway rat). RNAcentral's name for it is "long non-coding RNA NONRATT022025". Lineage: Eukaryota; Metazoa; Chordata; Mammalia; Rodentia; Muridae. The record is from RNAcentral.